Long non-coding RNA from Physeter macrocephalus (sperm whale), 4569 nucleotides. RefSeq lists it as uncharacterized. The record is from RefSeq and is a predicted model, not a curated record. The transcript is spliced from 8 exons. Lineage: Eukaryota; Metazoa; Chordata; Mammalia; Artiodactyla; Physeteridae.
AUCUGCAAGUCAAGGGGAGAGGCCUCAGAAGAAACCAAACCUGCAACACCUUUUUUUUUUGGCCGCACCAAAUGACUUGAAGGAUCUUAGUUCCCUGACCAGGGAUCGAACCUGUGCCCCCUGCAAUGGAAGCAUGGAGUCCUAACCACUGGAUCACCAGGGAAUUCUCAAACCUGCAACACCUUGAUCUUAUACUUCUAGCAUCCAGAACGGUGCUCUGAGGAGCAGAUGCCAAGACAGCAUUCAAUAAGGAAAUUAUGGCCAGUGUAAAAUGCUUGUGCUAAAAAACAAUGGGGAGAGGUCAGAUAUGGUUGGGAGACACGUCAGACCCUGAUGCAAGUCUGAUCCCAAGUGAGGAAGAGAGAAGAAAAUGGGAAGAAAGAAGUUUGGGUGGGACCUUGUAGACUUCACCACAGUCAAUGGAAGGUUCAGCAAAGCUAUGGAUAUCUUCCCAGGAGCGGGAUUGCUGGAUCACUUGGUAACUCUAUUCUUAGUUUUUCAAGGAAACUCCAUGCUGCUUUCCAUAGCUGCUGCACGAAUUUACAUGGAAUGCUUUGUCUUCUUGAGCUGGUCUGCCUUAGUAUUGCUACUGCACCUACUCAUUGUCUGGAAGUCACCUGUGAGAUGCAUGUCCUCAGCUCAGAUACUGAGGCUCCCAGUGUUACUGCUCAGGUUUAGACCUUCAUCGUAUUUAUGGUACAUUAUGUGCACUGCUGGCGUCUCUACAGGUGUCCCCCACCUCCCAGAGCUCCUCCCUAAUCAAUUUCGAGUGCUGCUGCCAGGUUAAUCUCUUUCAAAGGGCAGCUAUUGUACUAUUUCCAUUCUUAAAAUAAAAACCCUUCAGAGAUAUCUGCACACCCAUGUUCACUGCAGCAUUAUUCACAAGAGCCAAGAUUUGGAAGCAACGUAAGUGUCCAUUAGCAGAUGAAUGGAUAAAGAAGAUGUGGAAUAUUAAUCAGCCAUGAGAAAGAAGGGAAUCCUGCCAAGUGCAACAACAUGGAUGGACCUUGAGGGCAUUACACUACGUGAGAUGUCAGACAGAGAAAGAUAAAUACUGUAUGAUCUCACAUAUGCAGAACAGGAAAAAACUGAACUUGUAAAAACAGAGAGUAGAAUGCUGGUUACCAGGGCCCAGUGGUAGGGAGAUAUUUAAGUGUACAAACCCAAAACAGUUAUUUGCUCAUGGAUGAAUGAAAGAAAUGAGAUCAACUGAGUAGGCAGUCAAGAAAUAGAAGGACAAGGAGAGGUUGAUCAGACAGACAAAGGAGAAAAGGGAAUCACAGGCUGAGAAGAGCACGUGGGGAAGGCAUCCUUGUGUGAGCAGGACGUUCAGCAUAUGGAGGAACCGUGAGAAAAGCAGCUGAACAAGUAGAAGCCGAAUCACAAAAACUUCCCAUGUCACACUGAAGUUUGGACUAUAUUCUUUAGGCCAAGGGAAAUCAUACAAGGAAAUGGAAAGUUAAGAUUUUUAGACAGAUCUUUCUGGCAGAGCAGAGGUUGGCUGGGAGUAUGGGGAAGGGAUAGACAUGGUGGCAGUGGGGGCAGGGAGACCAGUUAGGAGGAGGCUAUUACAAUACUUCAGACAAGACACGGUUAGGGUUUGUCUUAAAACCAAAGCAAUGGGAAUGAAGCAGUGGAAGGAAUCUGAUAGUAUCUAGAAGCUUUAAGCAAAGGGACUUUGUAAUUGACUCUACACAGGCUGUGAAAGAGUGGCAGGAUGAGUCUUAGACAUUUGGUGGUGGUGCCAUCCAUGAGAGCAGUGUUUUAGGAAAGAUACUGAAUUCUGCUUUGGGACCUGAGUUGUGGGGAAAUAAUGGGACUCAUAAGCAAAUCGAAGAAAUGUGAUUCAAGAGAUAGCUAGAGAGCCGAGAGAGAGCUGAUUAUUACAUUGUACUUAACUGUGCUUUAUCUUUCCAUACCUUGGGCUAUCAUUCUUCCCUUCCAAUAAUUUUUUCAGGCUUCCAGAAUCUCCUAAUAUUCAUAUUCUGUAUGGAAGAUUGCUUUCAGAAUCCUCUAUUUUUUCCCAUAUGGAAAGGCUCCUUGACCUGCUGUACAUUUCAUGUGUUUUACUGAUCUUAUAGAGCCCAUCCCCAUCCCUUUUACCCCAAGGAUAAAAUUUAGAAAAAAACCUGGUAGGCCACUAGGUCAUUCUAACAGGAGAUUUUUUUUUUUUUUUUUUUUUUUUUCUGCGGUACGCAGGCCUCUCACUGCUGUGGCCUCUCCCGUUGCGGAGCACAGGCUCAGCGGUCAUGGCCCAAGGGCCUAGCCGCUCUGCGGCAUGUGGGAUCUUCCCGGACCGGGGCACAAACCCGCGUCCCCUGCAUCGGCAGGCGGACUCUCAACCACUGUGCCACCAGGGAAGCCCUAACAGGAGAUUAUUUUUCAACAUAUAUUGAGAACAUCUUGGACAUUCCAGAAUCCUUAAUGGGUAGCACUUUUCCUAUAUUUUUUUUGUAUCAAAUUGUGAACCAGCCUUUUUGGUGAGCAUGAGUAUAAAGCUUUAUAAAAUUGAAUUUGUGAAUUCCUAAAUACCAGUCAGAAUCUCUGACGAUAGUAUUUUCAUAAGCAAAAGAUGCCACCAUGCUCCUUAAAAAAGAAAAAAUCAAUGAACCUCUACAUUUCUAAAGCAGUACAUUAUCUUUCACAACCUUAGAGAGUUAUUUCUAAGGACAGGACUAGAGGUUUGGAUAGCAAAUUUAGUUGAUGUUUAAAGUAAAAAAAGAAAGAAAGAAAGAAAGAAAACAUUCUUACUUAACUGAAUAUUGACCUGUUUCUCCAUUCAAAAGCAAAUGUGGGAAUUCCCUGGUAGUCUAGUGGUUAGGACUUGGCACUUUCACUGCUGGGGCCCGGGUUCAAUCCCUGAUUAGGGAACUAAGAUUCUACAAGCGGUGCACCACACACACACACACACACAAAAGCAAAUGUGCCUGCAGAAAAAAGAGAAAUAUUACGUAUGAUAAACUCACAACCAACAUAAAACAGCUCACUGUCUCAAGAAAUUUACUUUAUCUUUUAAAGGAUAAAUUUAUCUUUAUGGGGGUCAUACAUUUUUUACAUGAGUAAAAAUUUCAGGAGAUUGCACCCAAUCCUGUCCCUUACCAGCACAAACUUGAAAAGUACCUUGUUCCUUAUUCAAACUUGUUUCUAAUGAAAAAGAACUCUUUUACAAGGCACCUUUCUGUGGUGCUCAAAUAUCAAUCAUAACCCUCCUGAAGUCAUCAUGUAACAUGCUGAAUCUUUCUUGCUUAUUAAACAGUAAAAUUUAAAUGCCCUCAUUUCAAUCUUAAUACUUGGGAUCCUGAAAUGGUCAAGAUCACUUACAAAUUUCAAACCCCAAGGGGCUAAAAUGGCCAACAAACAUGUAUGUGAGAAUCAUUGAUUUUUACCAGUGAUGUAAAAUCACCUCUAGGCCACAUAGUCUCGGAUAGAACUAAAUUGGUGCGUAAUUUCUCUUAAAGCACAAAGUGAGAAACUUUCAGCUGCAGGAGAAUUUCCAAAUUUCAGACAACACAGACUUACAUUGGAAUGUAUCCCAAGACCUUGGAACCGAUACUAAAAUUAUCUGUGACACAUAGGCCAGAAUUUAAGCACUUGAAUUCUCAGCACAGAGAUCAUCUUGUGUAGAUGACAAACAAAUUCACAGCCGCCAAGUUUUAUGAUUCAGUCAGGAGACAAUUUAUUGAAACUUUCCGCAUGAUCUCAGUAUCCUUGGACUUUACUGUGAAAAGCUGGGAAGUUGGAGAAAUAUUUCUUCCUCUACAAAACGAAGAUGACAGUACACCCCCCACACACCAAGGAUCAUUAUGAGGAUUAAGGAGACAUCAUUUAAAAUGGAUCCUGAUAUACAAUGAGAUUCAGUGGUGGACUAUGGUUAAAUGGUGAUUAAAUCUGUUACACAUGUGACUUCCUUUCUCUGUGUGAAGACCAUGUUAAGAAGAAAUUCUCAACUUAUGCUGAAGACAGCUUUCAACUCUCUUCAACAAUGAAGAAAGGAAAAAAUAUUCCACCUUCAUAAAAAGUUGCUGUUUAUGUUAAUCCUCCCUUUCUGUAAUGAGAUUUUAAAAAAUAUUUAGCUCCGAGACAAAACAGAAUGUCACUAGUUUCUUACGUGGAUCCUUGUCACCUGCUAAACAGUUCUAUCAUGGGACUUCCAAACACACUUUGUCAUUCCAUAGUUGACAUUUUUCUUUCUAACAUCUUUAUUGGAGUGUAAUUGCUUUACAGUGCUGUGUUAGUUUCUGCUUUAUAACAAAGUGAAUCAGCUAUACCUAUACAUAUAUCCCCAUAUCUCUUCCCUCUUGUGUCUCCCUCCCUCCCACCCUCCCUGUCCCACCCCUCUAGGUGGUCACAAAGCACCGAGCUGAUCUCCCUGUGCGAUGCGGCUACUUCCCCCUAGCUAUCUAUUUUACAUUUGGUAGUGUAUAUAUGUCCAUGCUACUCUCUCACUUUGUCACAGCUUACCCUUCCCCCUCCCCAUAUCCUCAAGUCCAUUCUCUAGGAGGUCUGCGUCUUUAUUCCCGUCUUGCCCCUAGGUUCUUCAUGACCUUUUUUUUUUAGAUUCCAUAUAUA